CAGGUUUAUGCUCCCAUUAUUUGGUCUCAGACUACUAGCCUGGAGAUUGGCCAUUACCUGUUGGAAGAGUUUUUUUCUUCAUAUUAGACGUGUUCAAAUUCGAGUCAGUAGUUUUAUAUCUCAGAGUGCAGAGGACGCUUCAUGGAUCUUCCAGUGAAAUUGGAUGGCUACAAAGAGCUCUUGGAGUGCCACCUGUUAAGGAUGGUACAACCAGAUUCAUGGAACUUCUUGAAGGCAUAAGGUGAUUUUGCAGGUUAUUUGCCUGGUGAUCAGGAGCUGAGCCCCACUGUAAAGUUUCCAUAUGAGGAUUGGUGGGUCCCUGACGAGUUCGAGCACGGUGCCGAUUGUAUAUGCGAGGAUUGUGCUGCAUGGUAGUUGUGACUCCUGAGUGAUUCUUUUUUUUCUUUUUGAUGUACUCCAUUUUGUUACUUGAUGCUUAAAUUGUUGUAUUUUUGUAUAUAUAUAUCAUGCCUUCGUGCCCAAAUGUAUGUAACUUUUAUAACUCAAUUUGGGUAUCAAGUAUUUGGGAAAUAAUUACAAGUAUAAUUAUGAACAAGUCUUCCAUUGAAAAUACAGGUCUAAUCUUAUAAUAGUAGAUGUAUAUUGUAUCGCAGUCACUGCAUUGUUGAUCCUGGCAAGUUUGUGAGUUAACCGGUGUUAACUCGAUCAUCGGCUCGGCCUUGUGCGGGAGGGGUGUGACAAGGAUGGUAUCAGAGCGCGAUGCUCUGCCUGUCUACAGCAUACUGCUUAGACAACAUAGAAGCUAUAAUAGGUCUGGGUUGGGUGAAGAUAAAAACCUUAUGAAAACUUAAAAAACCUUAAAUUAAAUGAAAAAAAUUUGUAAUCAUUGCAUUCAUGGCAUGCAUGCAUUGUUAAUAUGAAUCCUGGUUAACUAGUUUUGGAAUUGUCAUAAUUGAAUUAUUUGAUAAUGGGAGUUUUAAAAAAAUUUCGGCAACAUAAUGGGGGUAAAAUGAGAAAACCAAAAAUUUUCAAACAUAAAACCUGAUA
Macadamia integrifolia is the source of this 1008-nucleotide long non-coding RNA. RefSeq lists it as uncharacterized. The transcript is spliced from 3 exons. NCBI's taxonomy places the organism in Eukaryota, Viridiplantae, Streptophyta, Magnoliopsida, Proteales, Proteaceae. The record is from RefSeq and is a predicted model, not a curated record.